AGUAAAAUGGAUUUUAUCAUACUUGGAAAACCAACAAUUGCAGUCUGGAUUCAAGCAUCACUGUUUGAUGCACCCAACUUGAGUCAAAAAGAUGCUUCAAAUCCCACUAGGCUGGAGCCAUCUGAAGAUUUGCCUGAGACUGAAGGAUUCACUUCUACGAUGGCUCCUUCAGAUGGAGCCAGAUUGAGAAAAACCAACCAACCAACCAACCAACGAACAGCAUGAUGGCUGAACCAGACAAGAGAAGUCCUGAAGAAAAAUACUUAUCAAUUACCAGAAUCUGUGCCUGCCAUACAUCAAAGGUAUUGUAUCCAUGACAGCAUGCUGCUUUUUGUGGUGUUUUGAUUGACGUCACAAUUUCUUAGCAGUCCUUCCACAGCCAUUCUGAGAUAGCAUCGAGAAAUCAAUGAAACUUCAGAAUAGGAAGUAUUUGUGUCUAUAGACUAAUGUGGCACAUUCCAUCUUGGAAAAUGUAAUCCUUAUAGGAAGAUAGAAAGAAUCUUGGUAGCAGUAUAUGCUGGGAAUAUACUCAGCGAUUUCCCAUGUAUUUUCUAGAUUUAGGAAAUCAUAAAUCAAGAG
Long non-coding RNA from Cercocebus atys (sooty mangabey), 579 nucleotides. RefSeq lists it as uncharacterized. The record is from RefSeq and is a predicted model, not a curated record. The transcript has 3 exons. Lineage: Eukaryota; Metazoa; Chordata; Mammalia; Primates; Cercopithecidae.